This 725-nucleotide long non-coding RNA is filed under the name Homo sapiens (human). Its description in RNAcentral is "PREDICTED lncRNA (TCONS_00006012)". The record is from RNAcentral. Lineage: Eukaryota; Metazoa; Chordata; Mammalia; Primates; Hominidae.
UAGCGGGCUACUGGGCUGCGGAGACCAGAGCCCGGCUCCACUGAAGAAACCCGCCGGCUGCUGGGGCAGGGCGGCGAAAGGUCAGUCGGCCGAGAGGAGUCCGUGGAGCCACCGUUUCAUAGCCUCAGGGAAAGGAUCGGGCGUGCUCACGAGCCCUCUAACCCAUGGCUUAAACACCCGCUUCCUAAGCCUGGCCUCUCAAGCACUGUGAAAAAUCACUUUCUCUUGUUGUAUUCUUGGAGCCCCUGCUAAUUCAUUAUUGAAAAAUACCUGCUGCCUGCAUUUGGCCUUAUGUUGUCAUUUACUUGGUACUUCCUAAGCGUGGCUACUCCAAUGAAGCUUUAGUAUAUGUACUGAAAGAAGAUCCUCUCAUACUGCCACAGCCAAGAGAUAAGGUUGUAAAUCUUUAUUGGGAGAAGCCGUCAAGGACAGUUCUGUGAAAUGAAAGGAUCUCUGGAUCACCACAAAGUCUGGCUCAGUGACUAUGGCUUUGCAAACACUAAACAUUCCUGUCUCAAGUCCUGUAGAUGGCUUGAAAUAGUAUACAUAAGCAUGCCUUAUAAACAUCUUCAGUCUUUAUCAACUCUUUGGAGAUUCAGCCAUUCUUUUUUGUACUUUAGGGAAUUAAAUCAUUUUAUAAUGUAUAAAUCUGAGCAUGGCCGAUGGCAGAAGAAAUUUUGUCAUACGUUUUUAAAGAAAUAAAAAUGUAUUAUGUUUUAAAAUUC